RNAcentral lists this ribosomal RNA (465 nucleotides) under uncultured Klebsiella sp. RNAcentral's name for it is "bacterial SSU rRNA". It matches the Rfam family "Bacterial small subunit ribosomal RNA", at positions 338 to 795 of the family's 1533-position model. The record is from RNAcentral. Lineage: Bacteria; Pseudomonadati; Pseudomonadota; Gammaproteobacteria; Enterobacterales; Enterobacteriaceae.
CCUACGGGCGGCAGCAGUGGGGAAUAUUGCACAAUGGGCGCAAGCCUGAUGCAGCCAUGCCGCGUGUGUGAAGAAGGCCUUCGGGUUGUAAAGCACUUUCAGCGGGGAGGAAGGCGUUAAGGUUAAUAACCUUGUCGAUUGACGUUACCCGCAGAAGAAGCACCGGCUAACUCCGUGCCAGCAGCCGCGGUAAUACGGAGGGUGCAAGCGUUAAUCGGAGUUACUGGGCGUAAAGCGCACGCAGGCGGUCUGUCAAGUCGGAUGUGAAAUCCCCGGGCUCAACCUGGGAACUGCAUUCGAAACUGGCAGGCUAGAGUCUUGUAGAGGGGGGUAGAAUUCCAGGUGUAGCGGUGAAAUGCGUAGAGAGCUGGAGGAAUACCGGUGGCGAAGGCGGCCCCCUGGACAAAGACUGACGCUCAGGUGCGAAAGCGUGGGGAGCAAACAGGAUUAGAUACCCUAGUAGUC